Molecule: ribosomal RNA, 484 nt
Filed under: uncultured bacterium
Lineage: Bacteria
Description: partial 16S ribosomal RNA
Rfam family: Bacterial small subunit ribosomal RNA
Source: RNAcentral
AUUGAACGCUGGCGGCAUGCUUUACACAUGCAAGUCGAACGGCAGCGCGGGCUUCGGCCUGGCGGCGAGUGGCGAACGGGUGAGUAAUACAUCGGAACGUGCCCAGUAGUGGGGGAUAGCUCGGCGAAAGCCGGAUUAAUACCGCAUACGACCUGAGGGUGAAAGCGGGGGAUCUUCGGACCUCGCGCUUUUGGAGCGGCCGAUGGCAGAUUAGCUAGUUGGUGGGGUAAAGGCCUACCAAGGCGACGAUCUGUAGCUGGUCUGAGAGGACGACCAGCCACACUGUGACUGAGACACGGCCCAGACUCCUACGGGAGGCAGCAGUGGGGAAUUUUGGACAAUGGGCGAAAGCCUGAUCCAGCAAUGCCGCGUGUGUGAUGAAGGCCUUCGGGUUGUAAAGCACUUUUGGCGGGAACGAAAAGGACUGUGCCAAUACCACGGUUCGAUGACGGUACCCGCAGAAUAAGCACCGGCUAACUACGUG